Long non-coding RNA from Pipra filicauda (Wire-tailed manakin), 3813 nucleotides. RefSeq lists it as uncharacterized. The transcript has 10 exons. The record is from RefSeq and is a predicted model, not a curated record. Lineage: Eukaryota; Metazoa; Chordata; Aves; Passeriformes; Pipridae.
GCUUCACUGCAAAUUAGAUCCCCUGGAAAGAAACAGAGAGCCAGAACGGAUCCGACCUCUCUGCCGUUUCUGGGAGCGAGCUCGUAUUCUUCCCUGCCCUCCUCGCCUUGCCUCUGACAACUUUUCCACACUCUGGGAGCUCCUUAUCUUCACCAAUACUUGGAUUUGUGUAUGUGUAUGUUGGGAACCAUUUAUGUGGCUGAGUGACUGAAAUAAUUUGAAGUCUGUUUUUGCUAGAACCUGAUCACCACCUGUUUGAGUGAAGAAACUGAGGACUGUUUGAAACUUCCUUGGACAUUAAUAGGUUGACUGCUAUGUCGCUGAACUUAGUGCAUGGAAGGUCAGCCUUUGAAAAGCUAAAUAAGGUGAAGAGGAUGUAGAAAAUAGACCUUAUAUGGAAAACUGUGAACCCUAUGGUGGCAUCUGUAGUAAAGGAUCAUUUUGUGGGAGCAAUACCAACCUACUUCCUCUGAACAUUUGAGCAGAAGGGGGAGCUUCUCAGGACUUUUUCCCUUGGAAAAAAAAAAGGAUUAACUCUGACCAAGGUCAGAGCAACUAGUCACCAAUAUUCUUCACGGGUGAGUCUGGCCUCCUGCACCCCUGGAAAAUAUCACCUGAAACAUCGACCUACGCACCGGACUUGAACAGGGAAUCUUGCAGUGUCAGAAACAGAUUAAUGAAUCCGUGAGCAAUACAAGGACAAUCGAUGACAAAACUUGUCUGAGGCAUCUGAAGGAGUGAGGAAACAGAUCUAAGUGUGGAAGACCCCAUGGACCCCCCAGGGAAUUUAUCCCAGUACUUUGCCAGUAAGGACAUCAGCUAAUAUCCAAGCAGGCUCUUCCUUGUCCAGUUUUGGAUUGCCAUGAUGAGGAUGGAAGACACCCCACUGCCUUCCUCUUUCUCUUGCAGUGGGAGGAAGAAGACAAGACUACACCGGUGUGGAACAGCAGUGCUGAAUGACCUUAGCAAGGAGUUCUGCUCCUGCAGCCCGAUUGCCACUGAGCUCAGAGGAAAGGAGUUUGCUCAGCCCAACAUCCAGGAGUUCACUGACAUUCCCAAGGCAGGAGGGUGGACUCACUGAACCAACCAGUCCUGCUCUGGCAUGUGCACAAAAUCCCCCACCCUAGCAACAAAGAUGACAGCCUGGUAACAGCAGCUGCUGCUUAGUGGAAAACAUUGGAAAAAUAACUUGUUCUAGAUCUGUGUUCCCUCUUUGCAAUUUCCUAUUUAUCAUUAAAAAAAAAAAAAGUGUUCUAAGAAAACCCACCAUCCAGAACUUUAAAAAGCUUUAAGGUGUGAGGGUCAGACACACAGGUGCACAGGCAAAGAGCUGAGCUCCAAAAGCCAGGAAAAAUGUGACCCUGUAUUUCCAACACACGUUGUCUUUUUUAGCCAAAGCUAAAUUGUUUUCCACUGAACAAGUGGGCCUGUCUUGUGGGAGUGGGGUAUAUGUGCAACUAUUUAUUCUUGCACCAAAUGUGAAGGAAGGCCAAACAUGACCAAAUGUGUGUUAAAUUCCAAGUCAGCAUUUUUUGGUUAUUACUGUUUGAAGUAUCCCUGUUUCUGCUCAAAGCCGGGCUCACUGGAUAGGAAUUAGUAUCCUAACAAAAGCAAACCACUGCCUCUGGUAAAAUCUUCCCCUUUUUAUUUUUUAAUAAAAGCAAACUCCAGUUUCUCUUUUUUUCUUCUGUUGCAAAUGUUCUUGAAAAUUCCAAUGAAGACAUAAAGACAACUCUAAAGCAGCUUCCCCUGGUAAAAACCAAAUCAGAGUAAUGCUACAUCACCAUGUGAAAUAACAAAUUAGGUGGAGAGACAUUAACUAGUGCCAUUCAUCAGCCUGAAGUGAUACAAUUUAUUACAGGAUAAUAAUGACCAUAGUUGUAUAAGUAGUAAAGGUAAAAUUACAUCAUGACUUGCAUUAGCAGUAUGAGAUUAUAUCCUGAUUAAUGCACAAUUAACUUGUCACGGGUACAACACAUGUGUUUGUAGGUGGCCAGAUGGGUUACACCAUGUCUUAUGCUCACAUAUGUAACAUUUAUCACUUUCUCCUAACUUUCUCCUAUAUCUCCAGAAAUUAGAUGGCUACAUCCACUAAAAUCUUUAGACAUCUCACUGCCUUAAUGCAGAGCCAUCUAAAGUCACAAUACGACUAAGAGACCUUUAGAGGUGAGCACUGGGAAAUCUUAAACAUGUGCAUGAGUCCUGUUCUUUUCCAUAGAUUGGGAAUCUCAUCCGUAGUUCCAGGGAGACACCUCCAAGGUGAGAGCAACAACUUUAACUGCUCUUCUACUAGCAGGCACCAGUCACCUGAACUGCUUUCAGAGCUGUAUAUCACAGCUCCUACUCCCAAGAGAAAGCUCCCAACACUCUAAAAUGUACAUGAAGAAUUCCUUUACUCCUUUUUAAUUCUAAUUUUGCAGGAGAAAUAAUUAAGCUACAGGGCCAGGUGAGAAGGAUUAUUACUUUUAAUUGCAAUUACUGAUGGAGGUGCUUCAGCUUCGCCUGAACUCCUCUUUAGAUGCAGAACUGGGUAAUUUGUCCAUGUGCUGACAUGCAGGUUUGCCUGUCCAUACUCUCCCUCCCUCUGUUAUUUUUUUUUUGUGUUGAGUGUGUGUGUGUGUGUGUGAUUGCACAUCUGGGUGUGUGCAAACGUGUAUAAAGUAGCAAGGUAGUUGAAGGGAAACAAAAGGCCUCCGAGUUUUAAUCUCUGUUCUGUCACAAAGUUGGUGUUUGUCUUUGAGAAGCUCAUUUUAAUUUAUUUCUCUUACAGGUUUCUCAAUGGGAAGUGGGGAGGAGGGAUAUUACGUUGUUGUGCAAGCCCACCUCACACUGUACAUGAUAUUCACUUAGCUGUUUGAAGUUACAAAUUGCUGAAUGAUGACAGAACAUAACUUCUUAAAAUAAAUGGCAUCAGAUUUUUUUUUUUGCACACUUUUUAGUACUGAAAUCUACCAGAAAAGGUUGUCUGACUUUGAUCCUUCCUGUGCUUUAUUUUCAUGUUUGAUGGUACCCUCUGGUUCCAACAACAAAUGAUGGUCAUUUUCCAGCAGUUUCAAUAUAGAAGCAAAAGCUUUUAUAAUAAGGAAAAAAUCUAAUCAUUUUGUUGUCUAGAAAUGUCUUUUCCAGCUGACAAUAUUGAGUACUUGGAUAUAGGGCAACCAGCAUUUGGGAAAUGCAGAUUUUGAGUCCCAGUUGUGCACAUCAUUGGUGUUCAAUGUUUGGAUUCAACUAUUAGAAUAAUUUUAUAUUCUUCAGAAUUACUUCUGCUGAAUAGAAUUUAGCAGAGUAUAAAUAUUGUUUGAAGUCUGCAUGGCUACAAAAUACCCUGUUUGUUAGCAAAUGAGUUCCUAGGAAACAUGCUUGUAUCAAACAGUUCCAGGACAGACAGUGCAGUUCAUCAUUUCCAUCCAUGAGGUUUUUGAUUCUGGGAUGAUUAGCUAAGUUUAUAUUGAGACUAUGUAGCUAAGAUUAUUUUAGAUUAUAUUUCUCCUGUCUAGAGUAGACAUUUGACUCUGUACUCUAUAAGGAGCCUACCUUUGUCAUUAGAAAUUCACUUUAUUAUGACCUAGUCUCCAUUUUCAGGAUAUCCUGUUGAUGCUACAAAGAACUAGCCAAGACUUCGUUUACGCAAGUAAAAAUGAAAACUGACAUCAGCAUCUAUUUGAGAUUUAAGCUGUGAUAUAACAAAAUUCAAAUAAGUUUUUAUAUUAGCAUUAAGUCUGUGUUUGAGUGCACACUAGGCCUUAGACCAGAAUCUGGUGUGUUCCCUUGAAAAUGUAACUAAAAAUUCAUUUAUUAUUAAAAAUAAAAUCG